UAGAAAAAAAUGCACUCACUAGAAAAAAAGAGUUCUCAUAGUGACAUUAAAUUUUAUGGCAUCAUUUUUACCUAUAGGUGCAGAAGGCUUGCGAAUGAUUGAUUGGAAUAACUCCUACUCUAAACUAACCUUGAUGUGGAUCAGGUUCAAUGCCAAUUAAUUAGAAAUUUCAACAAGCCCAAAUCCAUGUUUGUUGGAGCUCGCAGCCAACCUGGAUGGCGAAAAUUUUUAUGUGGAUCAGUUUCAAAUCAGUUCAGGCA
RNAcentral lists this long non-coding RNA (260 nucleotides) under Elaeis guineensis (African oil palm). RNAcentral's name for it is "long non-coding RNA (EGUI_LNC019281)". The record is from RNAcentral. Lineage: Eukaryota; Viridiplantae; Streptophyta; Magnoliopsida; Arecales; Arecaceae.